This 481-nucleotide ribosomal RNA is filed under the name uncultured bacterium. RNAcentral describes it as "partial 16S ribosomal RNA". It matches the Rfam family "Bacterial small subunit ribosomal RNA", at positions 28 to 507 of the family's 1533-position model. The record is from RNAcentral.
GAUGAACGCUGGCGGCGUGCUUAACACAUGCAAGUCGAACGAAGCACUUUAUUUGAUUUCCUUCGGGACUGAUUAUUUUGUGACUGAGUGGCGGACGGGUGAGUAACGCGUGGGUAACCUGCCUUGUACAGGGGGAUAACAGUUGGAAACGGCUGCUAAUACCGCAUAAGCGCACAGCAUCGCAUGAUGUAGUGUGAAAAACUCCGGUGGUAUAAGAUGGACCUGCGUUGGUUUAGCUAGUUGGUGAGGUAACGGCCCACCAAGGCGACGAUCCAUAGCCGACCUGUUAGGGUGACCAGCGACAUGUGGACUGAGACACAGACCAAACUCCUGCGGGAGGCAGCAAUGGGCAAUAUUGCAAAAUGGGCGGAAUCCUGAUGCAGCGACGCCACGUGAGCGAAGAAGUAUUUCGGUAUGUAAAGCUCUAUCAGCAGUGAAGGUAAUGACGUUACCUGACUAAGAAGCACCGGCUAAAUACGUG